AACGAACGCUGGCGGCAUGCCUAACACAUGCAAGUCGAACGAGACCUUCGGGUCUAGUGGCGCACGGGUGCGUAACGCGUGGGAACCUGCCCUUAGGUUCGGAAUAACUCCCCGAAAGGGGUGCUAAUACCGGAUAAUGUCUUCGGACCAAAGAUUUAUCGCCUUUGGAUGAGCCCGCGUUGGAUUAGCUAGUUGGUAGGGUAAAAGCCUACCAAGGCGACGAUCCAUAGCUGGUCUGAGAGGAUGAUCAGCCACACUGGGACUGAGACACGGCCCAGACUCCUACGGGAAGCAGCAGUGGGGAAUAUUGGACAAUGGGCGAAAGCCUGAUCCAGCAAUGCCGCGUGAGUGAUGAAGGCCUUAGGGUUGUAAAGCUCUUUUACCCGGGAUGAUAAUGACAGUACCGGGAGAAUAAGCUCCGGCUAACUCCGUG
Molecule: ribosomal RNA, 433 nt
Filed under: uncultured bacterium
Lineage: Bacteria
Description: partial 16S ribosomal RNA
Rfam family: Bacterial small subunit ribosomal RNA
Source: RNAcentral